RNAcentral lists this ribosomal RNA (495 nucleotides) under uncultured bacterium. RNAcentral's name for it is "partial 16S ribosomal RNA". It matches the Rfam family "Bacterial small subunit ribosomal RNA", at positions 28 to 507 of the family's 1533-position model. The record is from RNAcentral.
GACGAACGCUGGCGGCGUGCCUAAUACAUGCAAGUAGAACGCUGAAGGAGGAGCUUGCUCUUCUGGAUGAGUUGCGAACGGGUGAGUAACGCGUAGGUAACCUGCCUGGUAGCGGGGGAUAACUAUUGGAAACGAUAGCUAAUACCGCAUAACAGUAGAUGUUGCAUGACAUUUACUUAAAAGGUGCAAUUGCAUCACUACCAGAUGGACCUGCGUUGUAUUAGCUAGUUGGUGGGGUAACGGCUCACCAAGGCGACGAUACAUAGCCGACCUGAGAGGGUGGUCGGCCACACUGGGACGGAGACACGCCCCAGACGCCUACAGGAGGCAGCAGUAGGGAAUCUUCGGCAAUGGACGGAAGUCUGACCAAGCAACGCCGCGUGAGGGAAGAAGGUUUUCGGGUCGUAAAGCUCUGUUGUAAGAGAAGAACGAGUGUGAGAGUGUAAAGUUCACACUGUGACGGUAACUUACCAGAAAGGGACGGCUAACUACGUG